This 3475-nucleotide long non-coding RNA is filed under the name Malus domestica (apple). Its description in RNAcentral is "long non-coding RNA (MDOM_LNC014127)". Lineage: Eukaryota; Viridiplantae; Streptophyta; Magnoliopsida; Rosales; Rosaceae. The record is from RNAcentral.
AUGAUGACCCACAAACUAAUAGAUAGAUGGCCAUCGCACAAGCAAAAAUGCGAGCCAUCCAAUACAAAUUAUUAUUCACUAUCCAAGCCAAUUAAUUGACAUUUAUAAGAUACACACACACAAUUAUAGUAAUGCUCUAGCGCUAACUAGUUAAAAACCAAAUACGGAGGUAAGCACUCGUUAGUAAUGUUAGGGAGACCAAAUUUUGUAAACCAAAUUUGCAAACCAAAUGAUGUGGUUGUAGAUUUUUGGAUUAUUAAUUAAGUAUCGUUUAACGUGCUUAUUUUUUAUUCGUGAUACAUCAUUUUGUUUGUAAAUUUGGUUUAAAAAUUUAGUCUCUCUAACGUUAUCAUUUAGUAGUUUAACUAUUGUUUUGAACAUUUUUUAUUUUCAUGAUUGCCUUUUAGAUAACCAAGUAGAUUUUCAAUUUCUGUGAUUAUUUUGAAGGGAUGAUUUUCCAGUGAUACCCUAACAAAAAGGAUACUGGGAGACCAAAAUUUUAAACAAAAUUUGCAAACCAAAUGACGUUUUACCAUAGAAAAUAAGCAGGGUAAUCAAUACUUAAGUAAUAAUCUAAUCAUCAAGAACCACAUCAUUUAGUUUACAAAUUAGGUUUAAAACAUUUGGUUUUCUUAACAUUAUCCUAAAAAAAAUCAGUUCAAAUUAUGAUAAAUAUUAUAAAGUGGAUCCAAACAGGUGAUUAGCUGAUUAGCGUUUGAACUCGUGUAGAUGAAUAUGCCAAAUGUGGCAUGCUUUGGGAGAAGAAUGCGAGAGAGAGACAUCAGAAACACACCUGAUAAUUUAGUUUGUUGAUUGCUUUGCUACAAAAGGAAUCAUUAUCAUGCUUAAUGAAUGACUUAGUACUGGUUUGGUACUAAAAAAUGGGUAUAAAAAAAAGUUGAGCUCAAAAAAGUGUUUGGUAAACACUUAAAAAUAGCUUAUUUUCACAUUUUUACGUGAAAAAAAGCUGAAAACAUGAAGCAGGAAAAAUAAAUUUAUUCUCACAGCACAGCAGAAACAAUUUUUUUUUCUUUUCAAAGCACAACAAUACCAAACCAAUCUUUAGUUUUAUACUUUGACAAAAAAAAAAAAAAGACUUAGUUUUAUACUUUAAAAUUAAGAGAAUUUGUUGUAAUCACGGCAUGAUUACAUCUUACACUAUGUUUGGAUGAGGAAAAUAAAUUUAGAAUUUGGAUAAAAGUCAGAAUUUGUAAAUUGACAUGCACCAAUUCUCUUGUUUGGAUUUAUAAACAUAGAAAUUUAGAAUUUCCGCUAGGAAAAAAAAACUUGGAAUUUGGGACCUCCAAUUUCCAAGUUUAAAUUUCAUGUAAAUAGGUGUCAUUUCCCAAUUUCUAUGAUUGAGAGCUUAAAAAUAAAAAAUUCCAUAUUCAAUUCCAUUGUUCUUUUAGGUUAACGAAACAAGAAAAUUCACAAUUUCUAGAAAAUAAAAUAUUGUCAAUUCAAUUUCCGUCAUUUUAAAAUUUCUUAGUAAUCUUAAAUUUCUUUUUCCAAACAUAGUGUUAAAGUCUCCAAGACGUUGCAAAAUCUUAUCAACUUUGGCUUUUCCUUGAGGUUUCAAUUUUAUUUAAUUAAUAAACUCCGUAUGCAUCGUGAUGGACAAGUGCAAAGAAAAUGGUACAUAACGAAAGUUGAUAAAAUUGAAACAUUGAUAAACUUGUAACGAAAGUUGAUACAUAAUCUAGAUGCAUGGACAAGUGCAAAGAAAAGGAUACACUCCUUUAGGGGGUUAUAUUCAAUUAGGAUUAUGUGAGGUUAUAAAGGAGUGUAAAAAUUCAUGGGUAUUCAAUUAAGAUUUUAAAUGAAUCAAUUAAAUGCAUGUUGUAUUCAAUUUAGAUUUAUAAAGAGUCAAUCAAAAUUUGGUGGUAUUCAAUCUAGAUUUUUAGAGUGACUUUCCAAACCUGAGAGUCUUAAAAAAAUCAGGGAAUUUGUAGGAUUCAAUGAAUUUGUUGAUUUUGAUGCAUUCUAGGGUGUGAGGUAUAAAUAUCAAAGGCGUUCACAAAUCAGGCACCCCUCUCCAUAUUUCAAUGUGAUUCCUCAUUGUCAAAGCAUACCACAGAAUAUGAACUUCUUCUUCUUCAAAAGUCUCUUCUCCGGGUAAUACACACACAAUAUGCUAUGUCUCAUACUGUAAAUCUUUUGAUUAGGGUUCUAAUUAUCGUGUUUAUUUGUGAGUUUGCAUUUUUUUUUCUUUUUUUACUUACACCAUGGAUUAUGUGGGUAUUGGUUUAUUUGAAGACACAUUGAAAUCGGAAGAACUAUUGAAAAUUGCAAGUUCUUCCGAUGGGUAUUUCCAGACUCCAAUAAUUUGAUAAAUGUAUUUGGCAUGGAGGAACAACUUUUGGGAACAACUCAGUUGGAUUGGGUGAAGACACUUAUUCUGGAACAUAUCAAGUGGGAAAGAAAUACAAGAGAAAAAAAUAUUAGUGUCGUAAUAGAGGACUAUGUUAUUGAUGGCAAUACUGACACAAACGUGUAAAGUCAAGCUGUGGAAGAUGACUACAUUUUUCUUGGACACAAAUUUGGAGCCUUCCAUAACAAAACUCCCUCAAAGAAUGAGACCUAGAAUAGAUUACGAAGCAAAUAGUACCUCAGGUGAGACUGUCACUCUAGCAACUCUAAUUGAAAAAAGUUUAAAUUGGUAUGGAUUCAAUUGAGGCAAUUGCUAAUAAAGUUUGAGGAAUGCAAAGCCUAGUAGAUAAAAGAGAGAGACAGGGAGAUAGAAAAGAAAAACAAUGACUUUUAGAAUCCGUAAUAAAAAAAAAAAACUACCUAAUGACUAUUAGACUCCUUAAAAAUGCAUUGAACUUCAUAACAAAUUCAUACCAAAUCUUUCAACAAUUCACCGGAUUUUAUGUGAAUCAAUUAAAAUCCAUGAAAUCCAUGAGAGUUAAUAAUUACACAAAACUCUAUUAGAAUCCUAAUUGAUUACACCCUCCUAAGUGUUCUUGUUUCUUUAUUCCCACUCUUUGAUUUUUUUUUUGUUGCAAAAAAUGGGGCUAAAAACAAAAAAAAACUCAAACAAAACUAAUAAAUCUAGACCAGGACAUUUUAAGUCGAUCUUCACAAAUAAAACUAACUGAACAACAACAAAGUAUUAAAUCUAAAUCAAGAUUAUAGUUUGUUUGUACUAUACUUAGGGCCUCCGUAUUUAGACCUCGUAUAAAUACUCGGGGGACUCAAAUGUAAUUAUGUAAUAAAUGAAGGGGCAAAUAUGUAAUAAGUGAAGAGCCCUUAUUCUAUAAAAGGACUCCUCACUCUCCUCGUUAGGGGAAAGGCCAAGUUUAGGCCAUGGGAAGAGAGAAAAUAGGCUAGAGAGCACACUGCCUCUAGCCUUUUUGUAUAUUCACCAUUCAGAGUGAAACAAUAUCAACAUCAGUGUGGACGUAGCCCAAACAUUAGGAUGAACCACGAUACAUCUUGUGUUCUUUACUUUCUUGCAGAUUCACGGUCGAUU